UGUGAAGGAGGCUUUGAACUGGGGGAAAAGGCAGCAAUGAGGUGUGGCUGUAGCCCAGGAAUAGUCAGGGAAGCAGAUAAUUUAAAUUUAGUUAAAGUGUCUCGGCCUAAUAAGGGAACAGGGCAGGUGGGGAUAACUAAAAAGGAGUGCUUAAAAGAGUAUUGUCUAAGUUGGCACCAGAGUUGAGGAGUUUUAAGAGGUUUAGAAGCCUGGCCGUCAGUACCUGCAAUAGUUACGGAGGCAAGGGAAACAAGCCUUUGAAAAGAAGGUAAUGUGGAGUGGGUUGCCUCUGUAUUGAUUAAGAAGGGGACAGACUUACCCUCCACUGUGAGAGUUACCCAGAGCGUCUGUGAUGGUCCUGUAGGCUUUUGAGGCGAUCUGGCAGUGUCAGUCUUCAGCUGCUAAGCUGAGAAGAUCUGGGAAGGAGUCAGAGAGCCUUGGGCCAGAGUUCUAGGGGCCCUGAGAGUGGCUGCCAGGACAUGCUGUCCACCCAGCUCUCCCGCUAUGAAUGAAG
This 514-nucleotide long non-coding RNA is filed under the name Homo sapiens (human). Its description in RNAcentral is "HSALNT0152893". The record is from RNAcentral. Lineage: Eukaryota; Metazoa; Chordata; Mammalia; Primates; Hominidae.